RNAcentral lists this transfer RNA (72 nucleotides) under Camelus ferus (Wild Bactrian camel). It matches the Rfam family "tRNA". Rfam says of the family: Transfer RNA (tRNA) molecules are approximately 80 nucleotides in length. Their secondary structure includes four short double-helical elements and three loops (D, anti-codon, and T loops). Further hydrogen bonds mediate the characteristic L-shaped molecular structure. tRNAs have two regions of fundamental functional importance: the anti-codon, which is responsible for specific mRNA codon recognition, and the 3' end, to which the tRNAs corresponding amino acid is attached (by aminoacyl-tRNA synthetases). tRNAs cope with the degeneracy of the genetic code in two manners: having more than one tRNA (with a specific anti-codon) for a particular amino acid; and 'wobble' base-pairing, i.e. permitting non-standard base-pairing at the 3rd anti-codon position. Lineage: Eukaryota; Metazoa; Chordata; Mammalia; Artiodactyla; Camelidae. The record is from Rfam by way of RNAcentral.
GUGGGUAUAGCUCAGUGGUAGAGCACAUGCCUAGCAAGCAUGAGGUCCUGGGUUCAGUCCCCAGUACCUCCA